AGGACGAACGCUGGCGGCGUGCUUAACACAUGCAAGUCGAGCGGUAAAGGCCCUUCGGGGUACUCGAGCGGCGAACGGGUGAGUAACACGUGAGUAAUCUGCCCCUAGCUCUGGGAUAGCUCCGGGAAACCGGGAUUAAUACCGGAUACGACCACUUUAGACAUCUGUUGUGGUGGAAAGAAUUUUGGCUAGGGAUGAGCUCGCGGCCUAUCAGCUUGUUGGUGGGGUAACGGCCUACCAAGGCGACGACGGGUA
This 255-nucleotide ribosomal RNA is filed under the name uncultured bacterium. Its description in RNAcentral is "partial small subunit ribosomal RNA". It matches the Rfam family "Bacterial small subunit ribosomal RNA", at positions 26 to 285 of the family's 1533-position model. The record is from RNAcentral.